UGAGUACGAGAUGCUACGGCAUCGAAGCAGUCUAUGUCAUACUUCCAAGAAAAGCUUGCAAUGUCAUAAACAAAUAAUGCCUGUACCAUAACCGACACAGGUGGGUAGGUAGAGUAUACUAAGGGGCGCGAGAUAACUCUCUCUAAGGAACUCGGCAAAAUGACUCCGUAACUUCGGGAGAAGGAGUGCCUUAUUUUUAUAAGGUUGCAAUAACAAGAUCCAAGCAACUGUUUACCAAAAACACAGGUCUCCGCUAAGUCGUAAGACGAUGUAUGGGGGCUGACGCCUGCCCAGUGCCAGAAGGUUAAAGAAGUUGGUUAGCAUUAGCGAAGCUGAUAACUGAAGCCCUGGUGAACGGCGGCCGUAACAAUAACGGUCCUAAGGUAGCGAAAUUCCUUGUCGGGUAAGUUCCGACCCGCACGAAAGGCGUAAUGAUUUGGAUACUGUCUCGGAGAGGGGCUCGGUGAAAUAGACUUGUCUGUGAAGAUGCGGACUACCUGCACCUGGACAGAAAGACCCUAUGAAGCUUUACUGUAACUUGAGAUUGAAAUUGGACUUUAUCUGCGCAGUAUAGGUGGGAGACGUUGAAAAUAUUCUUGCGGGAAUAUUGGAGUCAUCAGUGAGAUACCACUCUUAUAAUGUUAGAUUUCUAACUUUGUAUCAUUAUCUGGUCAAAGAACAGUUUCAGGCGGGCAGUUUGACUGGGGCGGUCGCCCCCCAAACGGUAACGGAGGCGCACAAAGGUUUCCUCUGAACGUGUAGAAAUCGUAUCUAGAGUGUAAAGGCAUAAGGAAGCUUGACUGUGAGACCUACAAGUCGAGCAGGGACGAAAGUCGGUCUUAGUGAUCUGACGGUGCUGAGUGGAAAGGCCGUCACUCAACGGAUAAAAGUUACUCUAGGAUAACAGGCUGAUCUCCCCCAAGAGUUCACAUCGACGGGGAGGUUUGGCACCUCGAUGUCGGCUCAUCGCAUCCUGGGGCGGUAGUACGUCCCAAGGGUUGGGCUGUUCGCCCAUGAAAGCGGUACGCGAGCUGGGUUCAGAACGUCGUGAGACAGUUCGGUCCAUAUCCGGUGUAGGCGUUAGAAUAUUGAGAGGAGCCUUCUUUAGUACGAGAGGACCGAGAAGGACAUACCUCUGGUGUACCAGUUAUCGUGCCAACGGUAAACGCUGGGUAGCCAUGUAUGGAGAGGAUAACCGCUGAAAGCAUCUAAGUGGGAAGCCCACCUCAAGAUAAGUAUUC
This 1241-nucleotide ribosomal RNA is filed under the name metagenome. RNAcentral describes it as "bacterial LSU rRNA". It matches the Rfam family "Bacterial large subunit ribosomal RNA", at positions 1564 to 2813 of the family's 2925-position model. The record is from RNAcentral.